Long non-coding RNA from Amphiprion ocellaris (clown anemonefish), 318 nucleotides. Lineage: Eukaryota; Metazoa; Chordata; Actinopteri; Pomacentridae. The record is from Ensembl.
AUCACGUUGCCUAGCAGCGAUGAAUGUCAGCUGGUGGAGCUAUCAUGUGACCGCACUCUCAGAAAGAAAUUCACAGAGGUUUCCCCACUUGCUGCCACAUCAUGGACCCCAGGAACAAGACAAGCUGGGGAGGAGUUUAUCAACUAUCAAGUCAUGCAGGUGUCUCUUCAAAGCCAAGAAGACCUUGACAUAGAGCACUUCUGGGCAGAAUUGGCAAACAGGAAACACAAGGUGACAGGACAAUGCCAGUUUGAAAGGCUUGCUAAAAUUGCCAAGAAAACUAGUCUGUUCAGCAGAGUUGGUAUUCUGAUUUGUUUG